AGUAAUGUAUGGGGAUCUGCCUGAUGGCGGGGGAUAACUACUGGAAACGGUAGCUAAUAUCGCAUAAUGUCUGCGGACCAAAGCGGGGGGACCUCCGGGCCUCGCGCCAUCAGAUGAACCCAUAUGGGAUUAGCUAGUAGGUAAGGUAACGGCUUACCUAGGCGACGAUCCCUAGCUGGUCUGAGAGGAUGAUCAGCCACACUGGGACUGAGACACGGCCCAG
RNAcentral lists this ribosomal RNA (223 nucleotides) under uncultured bacterium. RNAcentral describes it as "partial 16S ribosomal RNA". It matches the Rfam family "Bacterial small subunit ribosomal RNA", at positions 109 to 334 of the family's 1533-position model. The record is from RNAcentral.